GAUGAACGCUGGCGGCGUGCCUAAUACAUGCAAGUCGAACGGGGAGUAGCAAUACUCUUAGUGGCGAACGGGUGAGUAACGCGUUGGUACCUGCCCCGAAGCGGGGGAUAACGGACCGAAAGGUCCGCUAAUACCCCAUGUGCUCGGUAACGAGUAAAGGUGAAAACCACUUUGGGAGGGGCCUGCGUCCCAUCAGCUAGUUGGUAAGGUAACGGCUUACCAAGGCGAUGACGGGUAGGGGACCUGAGAGGGUGGCCCCCCACAAUGGAACUGAAACACGGUCCAUACACCUACGGGUGGCAGUAGUAGGGAAUAUUGGUAAUGGGCGCAAGCCUGAACCAGCAACGCCGCGUGUGCGAUGACGGCCUUCGGGUUGUAAAGCACUUUUGACUGGGACGAGGAAGGACGGUACCGGUCGAAUCAGCCUCGGCUAACUACGUG
Molecule: ribosomal RNA, 441 nt
Filed under: uncultured bacterium
Lineage: Bacteria
Description: partial 16S ribosomal RNA
Rfam family: Bacterial small subunit ribosomal RNA
Source: RNAcentral